GAGUUUGAUCCUGGCUCAGAUUGAACGCUGGCGGCAUGCCUAAUACAUGCAAGUCGAACGGAAACGAUGGGAGCUUGCUCUCAGGCGUCGAGUGGCGGACGGGUGAGUAAUACUUAGGAAUCUGCCCAUUAGUGGGGGACAACAUUCGGAAACGGAUGCUAAUACCGCAUACGCCCUACGGGGGAAAGCGGGGGAUCUUCGGACCUCGCGAUAAUGGAUGAGCCUAAGUCGGAUUAGCUUGUUGGUGAGGUAAAAGCUCACCAAGGCGACGAUCCGUAGCUGGUUUGAGAGGACGAUCAGCCACACUGGGACUGAGACACGGCCCAGACUCCUACGGGAGGCAGCAGUAGGGAAUAUUGGACAAUGGGCGCAAGCCUGAUCCAGCAAUGCCGCGUGUGUGAAGAAGGCCUGCGGGUUGUAAAGCACUUUCAGUAGAGAAGAAAAGCCUAGGGUUAAUAACCCUGAGUCUUGACGUUACCUACAGAAGAAGCUCCGGCUAACUCCGUGC
This 508-nucleotide ribosomal RNA is filed under the name uncultured Pseudomonadales bacterium. Its description in RNAcentral is "bacterial SSU rRNA". It matches the Rfam family "Bacterial small subunit ribosomal RNA", at positions 9 to 508 of the family's 1533-position model. Lineage: Bacteria; Pseudomonadati; Pseudomonadota; Gammaproteobacteria; Pseudomonadales. The record is from RNAcentral.